Non-coding RNA from Salmo salar (Atlantic salmon), 54 nucleotides. The record is from Rfam. Lineage: Eukaryota; Metazoa; Chordata; Actinopteri; Salmoniformes; Salmonidae.
UGCACUCACUACUGUAAGUCACUCUGGAUAAGAGCGUCUUCUAAAUGACUAAAA